UGGGGAAUAUUGCACAAUGGGCGAAAGCCUGAUGCAGCGACGCCGCGUGAGGGAUGACGGCCUUCGGGUUGUAAACCUCUUUCAGCAGGGACGAAGCGCAAGUGACGGUACCUGCAGAAGAAGCACCGGCUAACUACGUGCCAGCAGCCGCGGUAAUACGUAGGGUGCAAGCGUUGUCCGGAAUUACUGGGCGUAAAGAGUUCGUAGGCGGUUUGUCGCGUCGUUUGUGAAAACCAGCAGCUCAACCGCUGGCUUGCAGGCGAUACGGGCAGACUUGAGUACUGCAGGGGAGACUGGAAUUCCUGGUGUAGCGGUGAAAUGCGCAGAUAUCAGGAGGAACACCGGUGGCGAAGGCGGGUCUCUGGGCAGUAACUGACGCUGAAGAACGAAAGCGUGGGUAGCGAACAGG
RNAcentral lists this ribosomal RNA (409 nucleotides) under bacterium. RNAcentral describes it as "partial 16S ribosomal RNA". It matches the Rfam family "Bacterial small subunit ribosomal RNA", at positions 355 to 776 of the family's 1533-position model. The record is from RNAcentral.